Molecule: ribosomal RNA, 212 nt
Filed under: uncultured Oscillospiraceae bacterium
Lineage: Bacteria; Bacillati; Bacillota; Clostridia; Eubacteriales; Oscillospiraceae
Description: partial 16S ribosomal RNA
Rfam family: Bacterial small subunit ribosomal RNA
Source: RNAcentral
GGUGGGGACGACGUCAAAUCAUCAUGCCCUUUAUGUCCUGGGCUACACACGUACUACAAUGGCCGUUACAACGGGAAGCGAAGGAGCAAUCCGGAGCAAAUCCCUUAAAGGACGGUCCCAGUUCAGAUUGUGGGCUGAAACUCGCCCACAUGAAGGCGGAAUUGCUAGUAAUUGCAGAUCAGCAUGCUGCAGUGAAUACGUUCCCGGGCCUU